CUUUUUUUUAAUCUUUAUUUUUUUGAUAAAAAAAGGUUCCUAGCUUUCGAUCCGAAGAAAUGUGCUUCAAAUUUGGAUUAGGGCAUACGGGUUCCGACUUUAAUGAACGAACUAAAGGGUUGGAUCCGAAGGAUCCAAUCACUAAAUAACAGACCAAAUGGAUUUGGGCUAUCGGGUGAUAGGUUAUUUGGGUUUUGAAUUGGGC
This 205-nucleotide long non-coding RNA is filed under the name Elaeis guineensis (African oil palm). RNAcentral describes it as "long non-coding RNA (EGUI_LNC033202)". The record is from RNAcentral. Lineage: Eukaryota; Viridiplantae; Streptophyta; Magnoliopsida; Arecales; Arecaceae.